Melitaea cinxia (Glanville fritillary) is the source of this 559-nucleotide long non-coding RNA. RefSeq lists it as uncharacterized. Lineage: Eukaryota; Metazoa; Arthropoda; Insecta; Lepidoptera; Nymphalidae. The record is from RefSeq and is a predicted model, not a curated record. The transcript is spliced from 2 exons.
CUGCUCUGGUGUAAUAAUGCAUGUGCUGUGUCGGUGGCGCCUAAAAACCCCGACGGUCGCGGUUUCGAUUCCCGCUUGGAGUCGAUAUUUGUAUUUAUUUCGAUCUGUUUGUCUGUCCUUGUGGGUCUUCCCAACGUGACUGGAGCUUAGGCUGUUAUAUAUAUUAUAUUGCACCAUCCCGCAUUGGAGCUGCGUGGUGGAUUAAGUUCUGAUCCUUCUGCUAUAUGAGCAAAAGGCCUAUGCCCAGCAGUGAGAUGUUAUAGACUGAAACUAGGCUAUUUCCUUCAACAAAUUAUAUAUGCAAUGAUUGUGCAAGAGCUGAGUGUAUAUUAGAAAUUUCUGUAAAUGUAAUUUGAAACAUCUUUUCUUAUUCCCAAAAAUUAAGAACUAAUUACGCGGUCAACGAUUUCCAUCACCAGAAGAGGCCGUCGAAGAGUAUGAAAAACAAGUUUAUGAGGUCUCCACGGAGGAGUGGCACAAAUGUUUUUAAAAUUGGUUUAAUCGUAUGAAAAAGUGCAUUAAUACUUUGAGAAACAAUAAAUUCAUUUUUGAUUUUUAA